RNAcentral lists this long non-coding RNA (4534 nucleotides) under Homo sapiens (human). Its description in RNAcentral is "HSALNT0181630". Lineage: Eukaryota; Metazoa; Chordata; Mammalia; Primates; Hominidae. The record is from RNAcentral.
AGGAGGAAGAAUUUACCCAUUGCUCUGCGACCUGGCAGGCUGGGAGAGGUGCAGUACUGAGGCAGAGAGAAAGUGCUGGCGGAAGAGAGAUGGAUGCUGAUGUGGAUGGGAGAGGGAGACCUCAUGAAGGAGAUAAAGUCUGAAGGUCAGCAGAAAGGCAAGCGAAGGAUGUGUAAGGUGGAGGGGACUGAAAAGCAAAGGCAGAGAGGCGAGGAGUGCAGAUGGGUAAUGUGCCAACAUCAUAACAAGGUUCAAGGGAGGCACAUCUCAUACGAGUGUGAAAAGGCAAUCAUCAUGCUUAUGAACUACAAGAUUAUCCUAUAUAUUCAUUUUCAAUUAUUUUAUCCUCCUCUGCCUCUUGCCCUGGACUAUAUAAGACCUGCAAUAUAAUGUUGAAUAAGGAAGGUGAAAACGAACAUCAUUGCAUCACUCCUGAUAUCAAAGGGUGCAGAACAGUAAACUAUAAUUUAAACAAGAAUCGAGACCUAAUUUAAAUCAUCGGAUCUACUGCGGAAAAAGGCAAACAGAACGACUAUAUUCUGCACGUGAUUUAGAGCUUCGCCUCGGUGCCAUUUCCGGGAGACCUAGAAAGUUCCAAGUUCUGAUCUCCCCUUCCCUACCUCUUUUCUUGACGUCUCUGGAACAAGCUAUCUGAAAGGAGAAAUAGUCACAUCACAAUUUUUUUUUUCUGGGCUCAUGUGAAUAUUGUUUCAGGGACAAGAAGAAAAAAAAAUUUGUCUUCUCUAUUUCCUUAAGAAGGUCAGCAAGAUGGAACAGUUGCAUUUCAUAUGCAGCCUCUCGAAGGACAUUCAUUUUCUCCAGCAGAGCCCCAGGGUGGACAAGGAGGGCCAGCUGUGUGCAGCGUCUGUUGUGUACAGCAUUCAGGACAAUGUCCUCUUGGAUCCCGAGCUCUCCACACAGACAGAGCAGAUAAAGGAAGGUCCCUCUCCUGGUCUUCCUUCCAGGGAGGCUGUUGCUGAGAGAGGUUAAGGGACCUCCCAGAGUCCUCCUCAGGUGGGAGCGGAAGGUUGGCAUUGCUGACCUCCCAUAAGCUUUUACCUGAACUUGGGCUCUGCCUGUCUUUGUUCUGAGGAAUGAGACUGCAAAGAAGCUCCCGAUCUGAAAAGGUGGCAUUUGCUAAGUUAGAAAAUGGAAGUACCACCCAGUCUGGGGGAUCCCAUAGGCACCCAAGAGUGCACCAAGCCACUAGGACCAAGCUCACCUGAGAGUCCCACCCUGCUCGGAAUAUGCAGACUUGGUGUCCUGUCGCUUUAAAGCACUCCAUGCCUGGAAAUGCCACGGCCCACAUGGAAUGGGCACAGCCAACAACUCUCCAAGGAGCCCCAGCAAUGAAUGAUGAGCAUCUCCCCUGAACCCAUCUCCCCAUGUCCGGUGUUUAAAGUGAAUUGAAAUGAAUAUCUGAUAAAUGAAUAAACCUGUAAAUGGAAUCAAAAACCUUAUGAACUUGAAGGAGAAAUAGGAGUCCCAGGUCUGUUAAGUCUAAAUUGAAUAAAUCUGAUCAACUGCCUGACAAUUUCUGCCAACAGCUUUUGAAGAGGAAGAAAAGGGGUGAGCAGAGAAAUUGGGUAGAGGAGAGGGAAGAGCGAGUGGGGUAGGGGAGGCAGGCAUGACUCAGUAAUGAAGCUAUCACCAGGAGUCCCCAGUGUUCCUUACCUGGACUAAUAAAUGGAUGACAAUAGGAGUUCCUUGCAAGUCUGUCUGCUCCUGUGUGUCUGCCCAGAGGACACCUCUAGAGAAUGAGAGAUUUGCAUAAAAUGGGGCCAAAGUCUCCUUUUGGGCCUUGCUGGACAAGGAGCUGAGGAAGAACUCUGGAGUCCUGGAAUCAGCUACUGGGCCUAGAUGAUCUCACCUGCUAGGAUGGGUCUGUAUGUUUGGGUAGCUUGAGCUGGAGGCAGGGAGGUCACAUUGAGGAUGCGCUCAAUGGCUCUCGAUUUGGCCUCUGCCACUCUUUGUUCUGUUGGGUAACUUACUUCCUGCAGUGGUUUUAAACAUGGCCACAGACUUCUUUAACACUCAUCUUAGUGAGAGGUGGUGGUGGUGGAUCUGUGUCUUCUUCUCUUGAAUCUAGGUGGCUUUGUGACUCCACUAAUACAGAACAGUGGCAUUGAUGCUGUCUGACUUUCCAGGCUGGGCUGGAAAAGGUUGUGCAACUUCUGCCUGAGUUUCUUGGGACACUGUCAUUGGGGGAAAACAGCCCCUAUGUAGGAAAUCCAAUUGCCCUGAGAGUGCCAUGCUGGAGAGGUGUUCCUGUUCAAGGCCAUGCCCCACUGAGCUCCCGGCCAGUGGCCAGGCUGGCCGUGGGGAAUGAACCCCGUGAGCCACUCAGUCUCGCCCAGCCUUCAGAUGACUGCAGUUCCAGCCCAUGUGUGACUGCAGCAGCUAAGUCACAGCUGCCUCGUCAAACUCUCCCCAAAUUUUUGACCUGCAAAAGUACAAACGCUAUAAAAUUAUUGUUUUAAGCUACUAAUUCAGGAGUAAUUUGUUAAUAGCAACCAAAACACACCCCUUCUUGGGUUUCAAUUUUUUUUCUGAACCAUGAAGGGUUAGACUAGAUAAUUUUUAAAACCAUACUUUGAAAGUUUUAAAUAGUAGAUGAACUUUUUUCAAUUGUUUUUAUUGUAGUAAAAUAUACAUAAAAUUUACCAUCUUAAACAUUUUUAAGUGUACGGUUCAGUGGUAUUAAAUAUAUUCACAAUGUUGUGUAACCAUCAUCACCAUCCAUCUCCGUAACUCAUUUCGUCCUGCAAAACUGAAACUCUGUACACAUUAAACAAUAACUCCGUCUUCCCCUUUCUCCUCCAGCCCCUGACAUCCACCAUUCUACUUUCUGCCUCUAUGAUUUAGACUACUCUAGGUAUCUCACAUAAGUGGAAUCAUACAAUGUUUGCCUUUUGGGCCUGGUUUAUUUCACUCAGCAUAAUGUUUUCAUGGUUCAUCCAGGUUGUAGUAUGUACCAGGAUUUCUUUCCUUUUUAAGACUGGAUAAUAUUUCAUUGUAUGUAUAUACAACAUUUUGCUUAUCCAUUCAUUUGUUGAUAGACACUUUUGUUUUUGCCAUGUUUUAGCUAUUGUGCAUUAAUGCUGGUGUGAACAGGAGUGUACAAAUGGAAAGAACCUGCUUCCAAUUAUGUCAAAUAGAUACCCAGAAGUGGAAUUGCUGAUUUACAUGGUAAUUUUAUUUUUAAUUUUUUGAGAAACCACCACACCGUUUUUCACAGUGGCUGUCCCAUUUUUGCAUUCCUGCCACCAGUGUACAAGGAUUCCAGUUCCCCACACCCUCAUCAACACUUGUUAUAUAUAUAUUUUUACAAUAGCCAUGAUAAUGGAUAUGAAGAGGUGUCCCAUUGUUGCUUUGAUUCACAUUUCUCUAAUGAUUAGUGAUGCUGGACAUCUUUUCAAAGCAUGUUUUUUUUAAAAAAGGAGUUCAAACAUCAUAAAAGGAUAACAGAAAUUAAACAGUUUUCUUCCCUACUCCUGAGUUCUUCUCACCACUGAGAGGUAACUAACUUUAACAUAUGACUGAUUCUUCCAGAAAUGCUUGUUGUGAUUACAACAUAAUUAUAUCUUUAUAAAAUUACACAUAGAAUUAUAUCAUAGUUAAUUUUUGUAAUUUCCUUUUUUUCCACUUACUGAUACAGAUUGGAGAUAUUUCCAUACCAGUAUACAUAGGUCUACUUCAUUCUUAAUAUCUGCAUAAUUCCAUGGCAUGGCUUGGUCAACGUUUACUUCUCUAGUCACUGUUGAUGGGUAUUUCAGUUGCUUCUAGGUUGUUUGGUUGGUAUUUUUUGCUACUGUAAUAAUACUGCAUUGACUAUUAUUGUAUACUUGUUUAUGCUUUUGUAGGUCAAAUUCCUAGAAGUACAGUUUCUGGGUCAAAGGAUAUGCAUUGACAAUUUUGAUAAUUAUUGCCAAAUUUGUCUUUUAAAGAGGUGGCACAUAUUUAUACCACCACAAUGAGGAAGCUAGUAUCCUGCUACCUUUAUUAUCUUUCAGGUUUUGUCAUCUGCUGGAAGAAAAUAAUAUUCUGUUUUCAAGUUUUCAUUUCUUUAAUUGUGAAGUUGAGCAUUUUUAUAUGCACUUUGAUGAUUUUUUAUACAAAAUUUCAAUCAUGCAAAAGUAGAGAGACUAUAUCAUGAACUCCCAUAAGUAGAUCACCCCAAGUCAACUGUCAUUAUGGGUUUACCACUUGUUUCAAGAUUGAUGAUUUUUAAUUUCUAUUUUUCAUUGAAUAGCUAAUUUAUAUCCUUUGCCAAUUCUAUAGGGCUGUUCAUAUUUUGUUUUUUUUUAAAUGGUUUGUCGGAGCUUUUCUUAUCAUAACAAAUUAACUUUUUGCCAUUAUAUGUUACAAAUAUUUUUCCUAUUAAACUUGUGUUUUGAUAUUAUUAAAGGUCUUUUUGUACAGAAGCAAUUUUACUUUUUAUAUCAAAUUUAUCAAUCUUUUAAAAAGAUUUGUAGUUUUGUGUUUUCAAUGAUCUUCUCUACUCCAGGAAUAUAAAAUAAAAUAAUAAAAUAAA